RNAcentral lists this ribosomal RNA (252 nucleotides) under uncultured bacterium. RNAcentral describes it as "partial 16S ribosomal RNA". It matches the Rfam family "Bacterial small subunit ribosomal RNA", at positions 524 to 776 of the family's 1533-position model. The record is from RNAcentral.
UACGGAGGAUGCGAGCGUUAUCCGGAUUUAUUGGGUUUAAAGGGUGCGUAGGCGGGCUUUUAAGUCAGCGGUAAAAAUUCGGGGCUCAACCCCGCCCAGCCGUCGGAACUGCCGGGCUAGAGUGGGCGAGAAGUGCGCGGAAUGCGUGGUGUAGCGGUGAAAUGCAUAGAUAUCACGCAGAACUCCGAUUGCGAAGGCAGCGCACCGGCGCCCUACUGACGCUCAGGCACGAAAGCGUGGGUAUCGAACAGG